RNAcentral lists this long non-coding RNA (269 nucleotides) under Carica papaya (papaya). RNAcentral's name for it is "long non-coding RNA (CPAP_LNC002730)". The record is from RNAcentral. Lineage: Eukaryota; Viridiplantae; Streptophyta; Magnoliopsida; Brassicales; Caricaceae.
AACUGUCUAAAUCUAUAUCUAGAAGGUAAAAUACACUGAAUGUAUUGUGAAUAGGUGCGCAGAUAAAACAUACAUACAAACAAAUCACUCAAUCACUCUGGUCGCUUCAUUCAUCCUCUGUGCAUAGGGCAAUGAAUCAGAUAUGUCUACUUAAGUUGAACCAUCAUUUAUAAGGGACCAAAAACCCAUUCACAUGCCAAAACAAAUUGUAGAUACAAAAAGUCCCUCCUAGGUAACAUGGUAAGCGGAUUUAACUAUGACAAUUUUUU